CCUACGGGCGGCAGCAGUGAGGAAUAUUGGUCAAUGGGCGCGAGCCUGCACCAGCCAAGUAGCGUGAAGGAUGACUGCCCUACGGGUUGUAAACUUCUUUUAUCAAGGAAUAAAGUGAGGCACGUGUGCCUUUUUGUAUGUACUUUAUGAAUAAGGAUCGGCUAACUCCGUGCCAGCAGCCGCGGUAAUACGGAGGAUGCGAGCGUUAUCCGUGUUUAUUGGGUUUAAAGGGAGCGUAGAUGGGUUGGUAAGUCAGUUGUUAAAGUUUGCGGCUCAACCGUAAAAUUGCAAUUGAAACUGGCAGCCUCGAGUACAGUUGAGGUAGGCGGAAUUCGUGGUGUAGCGGUGAAAUGCUUAGAUAUCACGAAGAACUCCGAUUGCGAAGGCAGCCUACUAACCUGCCACUGACAUUGAUGCUCGAAAGUGUGGGUAUCAAACAGGAUUAGAUACCCCUGUAGUC
Molecule: ribosomal RNA, 460 nt
Filed under: uncultured bacterium
Lineage: Bacteria
Description: partial 16S ribosomal RNA
Rfam family: Bacterial small subunit ribosomal RNA
Source: RNAcentral